AUUGUUAUCGAGAUUUGAGAAAGCAAAGUUUGAUUUGAGUGAUUGAAGAUUUAGAACACGAAGAGUAAAUAUUAAUCAGAUCUUAUAUUGAUGAAGACUGAUUACAAUAUAAGUAGAAAGGAGAUAUCUGUUAAGGAAAAAAGUCCCUUUCUACUUCUAACCUCAGUCCUUAUUUAUAGGGAACAUGAGUGUACAAAAAAUAUACUAUGUCUAGACAUUUACAUUUCGCACAAAAAUGACUAAGUAAAAUAACAUAAAAUGCGAAACAAUACAAGACACAAUAUUCGACUUUUACAAUUUUACAUCUACACUUUUGCUUGAUAUUUUUACCACCAAAUACCCCUGGAAGUUAGUUGAUAUGCUACUCAAAAUUAUAGAUUCAAAACAGUGAGUAAACUACCCUUUUCUUACUCUUUUGCUGUGAAGUUUUCGUGACAGCAACAUAGCCAAAACAGUGGCUGUUUUGGAGCAUCAAACCAACACCCAAAAGUUCUUCAUCUUCAACCUUCCAUUCUUCAAGUAUUCACAUAAGGUGAGUUCAUACCCCUACAUUUUCAUGUUUUCUUCAAGUUUUAAGGGGGGGAAUACAAGUUAGAACACUAAACAUAACUUAAAUUUAAAUGACAGCUUUCUACAGAAAAGUUGAGUCCUGUUCACAGACUGUUUUGACGAUAUUAAACUUAAUAUCUUUCAAAACUGUACAAUACAAAAAUAGUUCAAGUUUAUAACUUUUUAAGGACUACUCGCACGCAUUCAUACGAUUUUUCUACAAUUUAUGGCGAUUUUUAUAAAACUGUCUGUCAUUUCAGAAGUGAUUUCGGACCAGUCUAUGAAGUUGUUCAUUUUCACACUAGUUUUAGAUCACUAAAAAUCAUAAUAAAAAUUUGGAACAAAGUAGAAUCAUUUUAUAAACUCUCAGAGGUGACGGAUUCAGUUUUUGACUUACGAUGAUUUUUCAAUUAGUUUUCUAAAAACAGGGAUAGUAAAGGGUAAAACUGUCAAAAGUGGUUUAUAGAUUUAUUAACACCUUCUAACAUUUUUGAGCAAUGUUUAUACAUUAAGGAAGUUAAAACACAAUCAUUUAAAUAUGUUUAAUUACCAUUUUUACAAAAGUGAUAAGUACAAAAAGGUCUUUAGUAUCAAACUUAAGGAUUAUUUCAUGCAAAGUUUCUAAUAAAAACGUAAGAAUAUGAACAACAAUUACGAAACAUACCAAAUCAUCUUUUAAAAUUUAUACAUAUAUAUAUCCAUAUACAUAUAUAUGUUUUGUUUACAAACUUGUCUUCUACAUCAAAAAUAUACAUAUAUAGUUUACGAAACUCUACUCCAUUUGUAUCCUGUUGAGCAAAUGGUAAAGUAUUGUCAAAUGCAUCUCUAGAGAUUUCACGUUGUUUUUCAUAGCUAUCCCAUUCUUAGGGGAUGAUCAUUUAUACAAACAUUUUCAAAACAAAAACACGUAAACUCGUUGAACAAAUUUAGUGAGUUUUGUCUUCACGGUACCUUAUAAAGUACACACGAAAGUCCUGUUAAAUAUAACCAGAGUCUCUUGUAGGGAGAGCGUGAUAGUUUUGUAUAGAUCUAUACUGGGACCGACAAUCCCGCACCUUAGCUUCUUGCAACAGCUAGACCGGCAGGUCUAGGGGUGACAAAUGUCAUAACGAAAUCGACACCUGAAGAACAUUGCGAACAAGGCAGUCUGGGUCAAUCAAGCAUGGUUAUAAGAUAAAAAUUAACACUCACAUAAAAGAACAAUGACACUUUUAGUUUACGCAAAGACAAUAUUCAAACAGUUUUAUAUACAAACAAAACUGCAUAACAUCAUUUUAAGUAGGAAAAUUACUUAUACGCUUCGGUCUUGGUUCAUUUAAGGCCAUAUGUCAUUUUAGGAAAAAUAUAGGAUUUUUCGGAAAACAAACAUUACUACAUUUCAUAGAAAAGGUUUACAAAUAUACAUAGAAAUGCUUAUGAGCUCACCAAAUUAAAUGUUGAUACUCUCUUUUCAUAUAACUAGUAUUCUCAGGAAAUCAGUAAAUCAGGUAACAACUGGCUUUGAGGAUGGGACGCUUAGGCAUCUAAACAAAUCUUUUGACAACAUAUUGUAAUUGAU
This 2107-nucleotide long non-coding RNA is filed under the name Lactuca sativa (garden lettuce). RNAcentral's name for it is "long non-coding RNA (LSAT_LNC007374)". The record is from RNAcentral. Lineage: Eukaryota; Viridiplantae; Streptophyta; Magnoliopsida; Asterales; Asteraceae.